GUUUGGCUGUGAUGAUACAACCUUCAGCUUACAACGCCAGUUCUGCUUCUGAGAAUUCAUGACAGAUCAAGCUGAUUCAAAUCUGAGCCUUGU
Small nucleolar RNA from Phragmites australis (common reed), 93 nucleotides. NCBI's taxonomy places the organism in Eukaryota, Viridiplantae, Streptophyta, Magnoliopsida, Poales, Poaceae. The record is from RefSeq and is a predicted model, not a curated record.